RNAcentral lists this transfer RNA (87 nucleotides) under Bythopirellula goksoeyrii. Its description in RNAcentral is "Bythopirellula goksoyri tRNA-Ser". It matches the Rfam family "tRNA". From Rfam's summary of the family: Transfer RNA (tRNA) molecules are approximately 80 nucleotides in length. Lineage: Bacteria; Pseudomonadati; Planctomycetota; Planctomycetia; Pirellulales; Lacipirellulaceae. The record is from RNAcentral.
GGAAGUCAUCCGGCUGGAUGAGGAGACUGUCUUGAAAACAGUUGGUCGCUCGCGCGACUUGGGGGUUCGAGUCCCUCGACUUCCGCC